UGCUCACUCAUUCACUGAUCUCUAGCGAUUUCCAGAGAAUUUAGACACUGACGUCAAAAUCCUGCGUCACCCAGACGCUGUUUCAUCAAUUCAGACAAUGUCGUCAUAAAUGUUAGUCCUACCUCCUAUCAACAUCUGAGUGAAGACCAGGAGAUCUUUCAGCAGUAGUCUUUAUUGCAGACGUCACAGCGUACUGCUUCGGCUCUGCAGUCAUCAAGUCCAUCUUUAAGAAUUAGCAUAGUUUUUCUUUUUUUUUUACAUCAUCGUGUAAUUUAUGCUGUUACUUAAUGUCUCCUAAAGAUUUUAUACGGUGUAUAUAUGUACGUGUAGUUCACAAAACAGAAUAAUAAAAUAAAACAACUAUUUAAAAAUUA
Long non-coding RNA from Silurus meridionalis, 374 nucleotides. RefSeq lists it as uncharacterized. Lineage: Eukaryota; Metazoa; Chordata; Actinopteri; Siluriformes; Siluridae. The record is from RefSeq and is a predicted model, not a curated record. The transcript has 2 exons.